AAAUUGAAGAGUUUGAUCAUGGCUCAGAUUGAACGCUGGCGGCAGGCCUAACACAUGCAAGUCGAACGGUAACAGGAAGCAGCUUGCUGCUUCGCUGACGAGUGGCGGACGGGUGAGUAAUGUCUGGGAAACUGCCUGAUGGAGGGGGAUAACUACUGGAAACGGUAGCUAAUACCGCAUAAUGUCGCAAGACCAAAGAGGGGGACCUUCGGGCCUCUUGCCAUCGGAUGUGCCCAGAUGGGAUUAGCUUGUUGGUGGGGUAACGGCUCACCAAGGCGACGAUCCCUAGCUGGUCUGAGAGGAUGACCAGCCACACUGGAACUGAGACACGGUCCAGACUCCUACGGGAGGCAGCAGUGGGGAAUAUUGCACAAUGGGCGCAAGCCUGAUGCAGCCAUGCCGCGUGUAUGAAGAAGGCCUUCGGGUUGUAAAGUACUUUCAGCGGGGAGGAAGGGAGUAAAGUUAAUACCUUUGCUCAUUGACGUUACCCGCAGAAGAAGCACCGGCUAACUCCGUGCCAGCAGCCGCGGUAAUACGGAGGGUGCAAGCGUUAAUCGGAAUUACUGGGCGUAAAGCGCACGCAGGCGGUUUGUUAAGUCAGAUGUGAAAUCCCCGGGCUCAACCUGGGAACUGCAUCUGAUACUGGCAAGCUUGAGUCUCGUAGAGGGGGGUAGAAUUCCAGGUGUAGCGGUGAAAUGCGUAGAGAUCUGGAGGAAUACCGGUGGCGAAGGCGGCCCCCUGGACGAAGACUGACGCUCAGGUGCGAAAGCGUGGGGAGCAAACAGGAUUAGAUACCCUGGUAGUCCACGCCGUAAACGAUGUCGACUUGGAGGUUGUGCCCUUGAGGCGUGGCUUCCGGAGCUAACGCGUUAAGUCGACCGCCUGGGGAGUACGGCCGCAAGGUUAAAACUCAAAUGAAUUGACGGGGGCCCGCACAAGCGGUGGAGCAUGUGGUUUAAUUCGAUGCAACGCGAAGAACCUUACCUGGUCUUGACAUCCACAGAACUUUCCAGAGAUGGAUUGGUGCCUUCGGGAACUGUGAGACAGGUGCUGCAUGGCUGUCGUCAGCUCGUGUUGUGAAAUGUUGGGUUAAGUCCCGCAACGAGCGCAACCCUUAUCCUUUGUUGCCAGCGGUCCGGCCGGGAACUCAAAGGAGACUGCCAGUGAUAAACUGGAGGAAGGUGGGGAUGACGUCAAGUCAUCAUGGCCCUUACGACCAGGGCUACACACGUGCUACAAUGGCGCAUACAAAGAGAAGCGACCUCGCGAGAGCAAGCGGACCUCAUAAAGUGCGUCGUAGUCCGGAUUGGAGUCUGCAACUCGACUCCAUGAAGUCGGAAUCGCUAGUAAUCGUGGAUCAGAAUGCCACGGUGAAUACGUUCCCGGGCCUUGUACACACCGCCCGUCACACCAUGGGAGUGGGUUGCAAAAGAAGUAGGUAGCUUAACCUUCGGGAGGGCGCUUACCACUUUGUGAUUCAUGACUGGGGUGAAGUCGUAACAAGGUAACCGUAGGGGAACCUGCGGUUGGAUCACCUCCUUACCUUAAAGAA
This 1552-nucleotide ribosomal RNA is filed under the name Escherichia coli. RNAcentral describes it as "bacterial SSU rRNA". It matches the Rfam family "Bacterial small subunit ribosomal RNA". Lineage: Bacteria; Pseudomonadati; Pseudomonadota; Gammaproteobacteria; Enterobacterales; Enterobacteriaceae. The record is from RNAcentral.